GCCCGGCUGGCUCAGUAGGUAGAGCUUGAGACUCAACAUCUCAGGGUCGCGGGUUCGUGUCCCACGUUGGGCA
Rhipicephalus microplus (southern cattle tick) is the source of this 73-nucleotide non-coding RNA. Lineage: Eukaryota; Metazoa; Arthropoda; Arachnida; Ixodida; Ixodidae. The record is from the annotation of a RefSeq genome assembly.